GAUGAACGCUGGCGGCGUGCCUAAUACAUGCAAGUCGAGCGAACAGAUGAGGAGCUUGCUCCUCUGACGUUAGCGGCGGACGGGUGAGUAACACGUGGAUAACCUACCUAUAAGACUGGGAUAACUUCGGGAAACCGGAGCUAAUACCGGAUAAUAUAUUGAACCGCAUGGUUCAAUAGUGAAAGACGGUUUUGCUGUCACUUAUAGAUGGAUCCGCGCCGCAUUAGCUAGUUGGUAGGUAACGGCUUACCAAGGCAACGAUUCGUAGCCGACCUGAGAGGGUGAGCGGCCACACAGGAACUGAGACGCGGUCCAGACUCCUACGGGAGGCAGCAGUAGGGAAUCUGCCGCAAUGGGCGAAAGCCUGACGGAGCAACGCCGCGGGAGUGAUGAAGGUCUGCGGAUCGUAAAACUCUGUUAUUAGGGAAGAACAAAUGUGUAAGUAACUAUGCACGUCUCGACGGUACCUAAUCAGAAAGCCACGGCUAACUAC
RNAcentral lists this ribosomal RNA (493 nucleotides) under uncultured bacterium. Its description in RNAcentral is "partial 16S ribosomal RNA". It matches the Rfam family "Bacterial small subunit ribosomal RNA", at positions 28 to 504 of the family's 1533-position model. The record is from RNAcentral.